Molecule: long non-coding RNA, 5240 nt
Filed under: Sus scrofa (pig)
Lineage: Eukaryota; Metazoa; Chordata; Mammalia; Artiodactyla; Suidae
Description: lncRNA (ENSSSCG00015063147.1)
Source: RNAcentral
GAAUGUUUUGCGUAUGUUCUGUUCCAGGAGUUUGAUGGUGUCUUGUCUUAUGCUGAAGUCUUUCAGCCAUCUUGAGUUUAUUUUUGUGCCUGGUGUGAGGGUGUGUUCCAGUGUCAUUGAUUUGCAUGCAGCUGUCCAGUUUUCCCAGCAAUUCUUGCUGAAUAGAGUUUCUUUUUCCCAUUUAAUGUUCUUGCCUGCUUUGUCAAAGAUUAGUUGACCAUAGGUGUCUGGGUUUAUUUCUGGGUUCUCUAUUUUGGGUUCCACUGGUCUGUCUGUCUGUUUUGGUACCAGAAGCACACUGUGUUGAUGACUGUGGCUUUGUAACAUUGCCUGAAGUCUGGGAGAGUUAUGCGUCCUGCUUGGUUUUUGUUGCUCAGAAUUGCUUUGGCAAUCCUGGGACUUUUGCGGUUCCAUAUAAACUUUUGGAUUGUUUGUUCUAGCUCUGGGAAAAAUGUCAUGGGUAAUUUGAUAGGGAUUGCAUUGAAUCUGUAGAUUGUUUUGAGUGGUGUGGCCAUUUUUACAAUACUAAUUUUUGCAACCCAGGAGCAUGGAGUAGCUUUCCAUUUCUUUACGUCUUCUUUAAUUUCCUUGAUUAAUGUUUUAUCAUUCUUGGCAUAUAAGUCCUAUACCUCCUUGACUCCAGCUAUUUGUAUUCCCAGCUAUUUGAUUUUUUGGGGUGCAAUUUUAAAAGGUAUUGUAUAUUUGUAUUCCUCUUCUAAUAUUUCAUUGUCAGUAUACAGAAAUGCGACUGAUUUUUGAAUGUUAAUCUUAUAGACUGCUACUUUGCUGAAUUUGUUAAUCAGUUCAAGUAGUUUAGGAUCCCAUAGGUCUCUUAUAUUGCUUUCAUAUUUUUUCAUUUGGUUUUCUGUCUGCUGUCCUGAUUGGGUGAUUAUGUUAUUCUGUCUUCCAUGUCACUAAUUCGUUCCUCUGCAUUAUUCAUUCUGGUCUUUAUUGCCUUUAUCGCAGUUUGUAUCUCUGUAAAUGAAUUUUCUAGUUUUUCUGGGCCCCUCCUCCUAUUUUCUAGUUCCUUUCUGAAGGAAUCUGCAUUACUGUGCAUAUCCUCUCUUGAUUCCGUCAGUAUUUUCACUAUCACCCUUUUUGACUGAAGGUCCGUCAGACUGCAGAGGUCUGUUUCAUUGUUGACUGCUUUAGGUGAAGUCUCCUGUUGCUUUAACUGGGAAUGGUUUCUGAGCUUCUUCAUCUUGCUUGUGUUUUUCUUUUUAUGUGAGCUUUGAGAAGCCAAACUGUGGUCUUGUAAGGCUACUUCUAUACAAGAAUACCCCUUUGUAUUUUUUUUGGGGGGGUUACUAUUUAUUUUUGGUGUGGGAGUGUGAACAUUUGCUGUCUCUUUGUUUGGUGUGAGCAGGCUGUUAUCCCCAGGAUGUUCAGUGUGUUUUCAGCGAGAAGGAGGCAGUGGGUAGGGCCAGCAGUUAGUGCCUGGUUGCUGGGCUCUCACCAGCAGCAAGGACCUGCAGGAAGGUGGCACAGGCCACUCCUACUUGCAGGGCCCUGGGAAGUGGUGAUGAGCUCUAGGCAAAUCUACAAGGUGACCAGAGCAUUUGGCAGUAGCAAGAGUAUUUUAUUUUGCGUGAGUUCCCAUGGGAGUGGGAGCAACAACAGCUUGUGUUUGAUUGCAGUGCCCUCCUCUGAAGUGAUUAGAACCGCAGGUGAUGCCUAUUCAACGACCCCUAGUGGGAGCGGGCCAGGACCGUCUCUGGAGUCAGUGAUAACUGUGGUGGUUCCCCCCCGCCCCCUGCACCUGUAGAUGGUGCAUGAAGCAACCGUCUCGCUUAGCCCACAUAGGAGGUGCUGUACAGGCUGCUCCUAGUUUCAGGAUCCUGGGAAGUGACAGAGAUCCGGCGUGUGGGUACUGCCUGGAGCAUUUGGCAGUGGCAGCAGCAGAGGGGGUGUGUUCCCAGGGAGUGAGAGCACCAGCAGGUGGUGCUCGGUCACAGUGCCCUCCUCUGUGGUGCCCUUGAGGUGAAUGGGGCUGCAAGUGGUGUCUGUUCUUGGACCCCAGUGGUGGCGAGCCACUCCCACCUCUGGAGCCACAUAACUUGUGGUUUGCCCCUGCCUCCUGUAGACCGUGCCAGAAGCACCUCGUCCUGCCUGGCCCCCACAGGAGGUGUUGCAGGAGCUGCUCCUAGUUGUAGGUUCCUGGGAAGGGACAGUGAUCAAGCAUCUGGGCACUGCCCAGAGUGUUUGGCAGUGGCAGCAGGAGGGAGGGUGUGUUCCCAGGGGAGCGAGCGCAAUAACAGGUGGUGUUCCGUCUCAAUGUCCUUCACUGUGGUGCCCUCUGAGGUGGUGGGACUGGAAGUAAUUUUUGCUCAGUGCCCUCUUCUUUUUUGCCAACCCCUGAGGUGACUGGGGUCACAGAUGGGGCCCCUCACAGGCCCCCAGUGGUGGCAAGCGAUGCCUCCCUCUGGCCUCUGAGAGGACCACUGCGGUCUGUCCCUGUCACCUGUGGAUUGUGCAAGAGGCACCAUGUGGCACUUAGCCCCCUGAUGGCCAUGACCCAGUCAAGAUGUGCCUGGCCACUGGUAGCCUGCACCAGAAGUGCCCAGUCUCCCUAUACAAGCAAGAGGCUUCUCACUGCCCAUAGCCUGUGCCAGAGAUGCCCUGCCCUCUGUGAGCCCAUAGUGCAGGGUGUUUCCUCUGGCUUCCCCAGUCCUCCUCUCCCCUCCCGAACAGUGCCGCCUUGCCUCUCCUGCGGGUCCGGACCUUCUCCUGGGUUCCCUCUGCUGUGGUGUUCCCCUCAUCCCGUGUCGUACAACUCCCCUGCCCAUGGCACCCUGCUCCUUAGCCCCUCAGGCUGUCCCUGCACAGUGGCCCCAGUCCUCUCCCCGGGACUAACCUCUGGAGCCUGAGUCUCUGUGCCCAGCCCCCGCCCGAGCAGCUCAGGCUGUGGUGUCCAGGCUGGUGGUUCAGAUGAUCUGUGCGGCUCUCGCUCUGCUUUGCUGGUCUCAGUCCUGCUGCUGUGCUUUUCUCAGUGACUUUGAGGUUCGUCCAGCUCGGCUGAUCUUUCCGUCAGUUGGGUGGUUUCCCAGGAGGUGGGUUCCUUUUCUCCUCCACAGCUGCCUCUCAGGAAUGCUAGUCCCGUCCUGAUUGCUUUUAUCUUUUUUUUCCUGUUGUUCUACCCAGUUGACAUAAGAGUUUCUUGCCCUUUUUGGAGGUCUGAGUUCUUCUGCCAGCUUUCAGUUGAUGUUCUAUGUGAGUCGUUUUACAUGUAGAUGUGUUUUUUGGAUGUGUUUGUGGGAGAAGGUGAGCGUGACCUCUUACUCCUCCACCAUCUUGCUUUGCCCCCUCCACAAAGUAAAAUUUUAAUAUAUUUUUCCCCUCAAGUUAGAAAUAAUUCAAAUUAUUACUGAGUAGAUUUCCCUGUGCUAUAUGGUAGGGCCCUGUUACUUAUCUAUUUCAUACAUAGUAGUGUGUAUAUGUGCAAUAACCUAUGGGGAAAAUAAUCUGAAAAGGAAUGCAUAUAUGUAUAUGUAUAAGUGAUUCGCUUUGCUACAUACCUGAAACUAACACAUUGUAAGUCAGCUAUACUCUAAUAAUAUUUUAAAAAAUAAUGUUUUGAUGGUAUGGUGAAAUGGAUAUGGGCCACUUCUAAAUGCAGACUAAGCCAUCUCCUUUCUGUUUGUAGAGAGUUUAACAAUAUGUAUUGAGUCUUAAAAUUUUCAUAACUCAAAAUAUCCACCUCAUAAUAGUAAAAAAAUGAAUCAUUUAUUUAGAAACAAACUUAAUCAAAACGUGGAAACAUUUUUAAAAAUCUUCAAAACACUUCUUUGGAAGUAACACUUGAAUAAAGAGAUAGACCAUACUUUUUCCCUUUCUGGAAAGAUCCAGUAUUAUGAAGCUUUCAGUUAUCCUCAAAUUGUCUAUGAAUUCAACACAUUCUAAUUCCCAGUGGUAGUAAAUUCCAGUAAGAAAUAUGAUAAACUGGAAGAGAGAACAUGUGAAACUAAUCAGCUACGUUUAAGAGGAAGGAGAGUGGCGAGAAUGUGGUGUGAAUAUGAGAUUUCCAGAAUGAGUUGUGGCUGUGUUCUAAAGCUACCAUGGUUGAAACACUGUGGCUCAGGCAUAGAAUGGUGUGACAGAAUAUAAAGUUCAGAAGCAGAUAAGUGUACAAAAACAUUUAAUAUUUGACAAAAGCAUUCUUCAAGUUUAUGGGAACAGUCUUGGGAGAAAAGGCUAUAGAGGUAAAAAAUAGUGUUGUGUCCUGACAUCAAAUCAUGUACUAAAAUUUUGAAUGUAAAAAUGUAAAACAUAAAAAAGUAAAAAAAUAAAAUUAUAAGUAGAAAAUAUAGAUGAGUAUUUACAUAAACCUGAGAUGGGGAAAAUAAUUUCAAGUGUGGCAGCAAAGAGAGAAGUCAUAAAGCAUAAUAUUUAUAUACUUAACAACAGAAAAUCAAAGUCAGUAUGUAAAAACACAGUUAGGAUUAAUGGGAGACAAAUAUAAAUAGGAAAAGUAUUUGCGGCAAAGAGUUACUAUUUUCACUACAAUAAGAAAAGAAAACUUCACAAAGAAAUGCAAACUAAAACAGUAAUGGGCAAUAGAGAUGAUUGCAUUGGGAAGAUUUGUUUAAAUGGUAACACUGAGUUGGUUAGGGUUAGGGGAGGGGUCCUCUCGCAUGAAGUUGGCAGAAAAGCCAAAUGGUACAAUCCCUCUAGUCGAUAAUUUGUCAAUAUUCAUGAAAGUGUUGAAAAUACAUGCAUGCAUAUGGUCCAGUCAAGGAAAUGACUGUGCAAAGACAUAGAAAAACUUCACAUUUAAUAGUGGAAACCUGGAACCAAUAUAAAGGGUCAAGAUACAGUUGUUUAAAGAAAUCCUAAUGCAGUUAUAAAAUGAUAUUGCCAUUGCAUACAGUGGAGCAGGUACAUUUAUUUAAUAUGUGAUUGAUAAAAAGGAGGCUGUGAUGGGAAGAAGAGUGAGAUCAGGAGAAUUUUGGGGUGUGAAGGGUGGAAGAACAGAAUGCCAAAAGUCAGACAAAAAGUGAAGAAACAGGAGUUCCCGUCGUGGCGCAGUGGUUAACGAAUCCGAUUAGGAACCAUGAGGUUGCAGGUUCGGUCCCUGCCCUUGCUCAGUGGGUUAACGAUCCGGCGUUGCCGUGAGCUGUGGUGUAGGUCGCAGACGCGGCUCGGAUCCUGCGUUGCUGUAGCUCUGGUGUAGGCUGGCAGCUCCAGCUCCACUUAGACUCCCAGCCUGGGAACCUUGAUAUGCCUCGGGAGUGGCCCAAGAA